GUGAAUCAUCGAAUUUUUGAACGCAAAUUGCACUCCCUGGUAUUCCGGGGAGUAUGCCUGUUUGAGGGUCGUUAGAAUAAAAAAUCGAGGCGUCGCUCUUUUUUUAAGGGUGGACCGCGUCGGAAUGGAGCCGUCUUUCAAAUGUUAAUUCAUGUCAAGUUGGCUUGAAAUUCAUCCAUCGGGUACGAUUAAAGCGUAUUUAAGAUCAAUCUUGAUUAAGACCGGGCGUUGACGUACAAUCUAAUGUAGUA
Molecule: unclassified non-coding RNA, 251 nt
Filed under: Funneliformis mosseae
Lineage: Eukaryota; Fungi; Glomeromycota; Glomeromycetes; Glomerales; Glomeraceae
Description: partial contains 5.8S ribosomal RNA and internal transcribed spacer 2
Rfam family: 5.8S ribosomal RNA (bases 1-71)
Source: RNAcentral